AGUGGCGGACGGGUGAGUAACGCGUGGGUAACCUGCCUCAUACAGGGGGAUAACAGUUAGAAAUGACUGCUAAUACCGCAUAAGACCACAGGACCGCAUGGUCCAGUGGUAAAAACUCCGGUGGUAUGAGAUGGACCCGCGUCUGAUUAGCUAGUUGGUAAGGUAACGGCUUACCAAGGCGACGAUCAGUAGCCGACCUGAGAGGGUGACCGGCCACAUUGGGACUGAGACACGGCCCAGACUCCUACGGGAGGCAGCAUG
Molecule: ribosomal RNA, 261 nt
Filed under: uncultured bacterium
Lineage: Bacteria
Description: partial 16S ribosomal RNA
Rfam family: Bacterial small subunit ribosomal RNA
Source: RNAcentral